GAGGAGUUUUUGCUAUUGUCUCACAAUAGGAGGUGACUUCAUGUUACUUCUACCCAGAGGUUAAGCGAAACUUCGGAGAUAGUAAGGGGCCCCUCUCCUGCUCCCUCCAGGCCUCUGCCAGCCCUUAGAAGCUGCCAGCUCUCUGCUGUCUUCUCGGCAUUGCAGGAAGAGAAGCAGAUAGCUUCCAGAGAGUACUCUGAGCUGAGAAGGCGAGGAUGGGUGAGAGGCCCAGGGAUUGAAUACAACUCCACCCUUCCUUCCCAGUGCCAUGGAUCCAGAGCCACAGGGACAUCUAAGCCACAUCUCACUCAGCUGCUGCAGCCACCUGUCACAUGUGGCUAGAAUCAUAGAACAGCUCCAGGUAUCAAAAGGCUUGUUUGGGGCACCUCAGAGGUUUGCAUCCACUCCCAGAGGCCACAGAGAGAGAGAGAGGCCUGGGAAGACUGUCAAGAAGUGGAAAGUUAAUAAAUUCUGUGUCACUCUGAAGACCAUGCUCUCAAGGCUCUCUAGGCCAAUAACCACGAUAAACUUGAGGAGCCGACAGAGGACACAUAUCCCUCUUGUCACUUAAAGACAAAACAGAAAAACAGAUGGCACCAGGCCUGACUAGCCGCUUUUCUCCUCCCCGCAAAGACCUGGUUAAUUCUGCGCACACUGGCUUGAUUCGGUGAAGUCGGUGUCCCUGAGUGACACCUGGAGGGAUGAACUUUGUCUGGACACCUGCAUUCUUCAUGGAAGGUGAGGCCUGUUAUAAAGGCGGUUCCUCUGAGAUGCCUGCAGCUGGCCCAAUAGGUGGGCCAGGCCGCCCAGUAGGAGCAGUGAGCUCUCACCCACCACAGCCGUCCCCGUACGCACUGAACUGCUCCAUCGCCCCACAGUCCCACAGUGUGUGCUCUUCGGGCACCUUCAACGCUAGAAAAAGAACCAGGCAGAACAAGUGGCAUGAGCGGCUGGAUACAACACGAAAGACAGUCCCCAAGCCCAGCCCCAAGGAAGGCAUCUGGGCAGGCUGGCUCCCCCACUAUGAAAAAAGCUAAGCAGUGAUUUGAACUUAUUUUCCUUUCUUUGGGUUCUUUUAAAACCUGUAUUGUGUGUUUUGUCUGCAUGUAUGUUAUGUGCACCAUACGCACACCCUAGGAGGUCAGAAGAGAGCAUAGGAUCCCCC
RNAcentral lists this long non-coding RNA (1165 nucleotides) under Cricetulus griseus (Chinese hamster). Its description in RNAcentral is "lncRNA (ENSCGRG00015042027.1)". The record is from RNAcentral. Lineage: Eukaryota; Metazoa; Chordata; Mammalia; Rodentia; Cricetidae.